Molecule: long non-coding RNA, 1224 nt
Filed under: Calidris pugnax (ruff)
Lineage: Eukaryota; Metazoa; Chordata; Aves; Charadriiformes; Scolopacidae
Description: lncRNA (ENSCPUG00000017280.1)
Source: RNAcentral
UUCUUUUGCCAGCACCAUUAAAUGUCGAGUUGAAGGGAAACACAAUACAUCACCCUCCUUGUGGGCUGCCAUUCAGCCAAGAGGAACAGAGAUUAGCCUUCAAUCACACGGGGGCUGGAGCCCAAGGAAACAUUCCUGAGGACACGCUGGAGAAACAUUUUCAUUAGCAGAGGAGAACCUGACAGAGAUGAAGUGCCCCUUCACCUCGACUGCCGGACCUCUCCCCUGCAUGGCGUUAACAGGACGAGGAGAUGCUAACCGAGGAGCUGGUGCCAGCUGAGUGCUGUCUGCAUCCAGAUGUGAGGAACAGCUGGGACACAGUGAAGCAGUGCUUUUAUAGCCUGGUAGGGGUGGCUUUGGUUUUUCUCCUGCCUAUCAACAAGCACUCACCGCUGGAAGCAAACUGGCCCUGUCCAUGCUGUCAAUCGAAUGGAGGAAAUGGAAAUGAAGAGGAUACAACAGACAUCAAAAUGAAAUUCUCCUCAGAGUUGCCCAGAAGGAUGGAAAACCGCAAGGAACAACUACUCCAUGGCUCUGGAAAAGGAAGAUCUACUUGCUUAGUAACCUGAUUGUGGGGUACUCGUUCUGCUUCACGCAGAGGCUGGAAGCCAGGGGAGGUUUUGGGUUACAAAGAGGGCUGGGCAGAGUUUGCUGCCUUCUCCAUUCCUUUCCCGUAUCACUGUCAACUUAGAUUGCACAUCAAGAGGGUGAUGUUAUGGCUGGCGGUGACAAUAGCAGAAUGUCACUGGCAGAGGUGAAAUCUUUCCCUCCGUGAGGGUACUUCUUCCUUUCCUCUUCCCUUGGCUUACAUCAAGAACCUCUGGCUUCCAGUGCCAAGUGGGCCAUGCGUGGGUGCUGCCCGAGGGACAGGGGUGUCUACUGUGCUGAGCAUGGCUUUUCCUUGCUGUGUCGGUGAGCAGCUCUGUGUCACUGCUGCCUCUUUGCUCUGUGGUGACCGGGGACAGAGAGCAAACCCUUGUCACUGUCUGAGACAAACUGGGGCCGUUGGGAGCUGCUGUGUUUGCCAUCAUGGGGAGCAUUGCAUGGAGUGGUCCUUUGUCAUACUGGCACCCUUACGCCAGCAGGACAUCUGCCAGAGAUGUCUCUUCAGAGCCCUGGGGGCCAGGCCUGAGCUAAGUCAGGGUCUGAGGGGCAGACAAACGUGUAAAUAGUUAAUGCUCUCCGCAGGCUGUCUCUCACCUCCUCUAAGCAGGAGCUAAUCUG